RNAcentral lists this ribosomal RNA (300 nucleotides) under uncultured Hydrogenobacter sp. Its description in RNAcentral is "bacterial SSU rRNA". The stretch from base 52 to 300 matches the Rfam family "Bacterial small subunit ribosomal RNA", at positions 547 to 795 of the family's 1533-position model. The record is from RNAcentral. Lineage: Bacteria; Pseudomonadati; Aquificota; Aquificia; Aquificales; Aquificaceae.
GGCGUCGAGGUUGCAGGAGCGGUGGUGACUCGAGAGGGUGAAGGUGUCAUGGGAAGUGCUGGGGGUAAGCGUGGGGUAGGUGGCUAAGUAAGUUGGAAGGUGAAGCCCCGGGGUCAGUCUGGGAAAUGCUUGCAAAACUGCUGAGCUUGAGUACGGUAGAGGGUGGGGGAAUUGCCUGUGUAGCGGUGAAAUGCGUAGAUAUAGGAAGGAACACCAGUGGCGAAGGCGACCACCUGGACUGAUACUGACACUGAGGUGCGAAAGCGUGGGGAGCAAACAGGAUUAGAUUCCCCAGUAGUC